GCGCUCCAUGGAAAGGGCCCUCCCUGGAGCAGUUCAUGAAGAGCUGCAGCCUGUUCACAAGGACUCACACAGGUGCUUCAGCUAAAGACAUGGCCAUUUAUUUCCCAUGCUGAACCUGUUUACUUGUCUCCCUCAGCUAUAAGGAGGGCAGAUGAAGUAUCAAUCUACACUGUGGUACUCCUAUUAGAUGACCUAAAAGGGAUGAAGAGCUAUUCCUAGGAUAACUGGUCUCCAUGGCAUCUGUUUUCUAGAGUCUGGAAAGUAUAUGCUGGCUGUAAAUCCAAAUCGCCUGAUACAUUUUAGCAACUAAUAUGAGAAAAAUAAAGGCUCAUUGAUGUGGAGGUGCCUAAUUGAUGAAGCAUGAACUCCAUCCUUGUGGGAAGAUGAGGCAUUUGAAAAGUUUAACCUCGCAUGGGCAGAUGAAUUCAGCUGUGAUCUACACAAUAUGAAGAACUCAGCAAGAUUAAAUAAAAUCAGCUGCUUUGUCAGAAAUACCUAUGCAACCAACUGGCAAAAUAUGUUGAGAGCAUCAGGUUGGAGUAAUGUUUGGAAGAAAUGAACCUUUUUUAUUUCCUGUCGCUUUUCCUAUCUGAUUUAGAAACUGCUGUCCCAUCCCUUGAUUCAUUUUACCUUCUUUCCAGAAUUUUUCUCUGUAAUCUGGUAUGUAAUUAAAUGUGUCCUUUCAGCCAUUCCUUAUUCAUCUUUUAACAUUCCCAACAUUUAAUUACCUGUAGGGAAUAGAAGUACGUGGAAAGUAUUAUUAAUCUUUCUCAAUUGUAAUUGUGAUUUAAUUUGAGAUGACAAUCUCUGACAAAAACUCAAAAAUUAAAUCUACCCAGGACUAAAACUAAAUCCAAGAUAUCUCGUGGAGUUUACCACAGUCAAACCUUAAACCAUUACU
Long non-coding RNA from Hirundo rustica (Barn swallow), 901 nucleotides. RefSeq lists it as uncharacterized. Lineage: Eukaryota; Metazoa; Chordata; Aves; Passeriformes; Hirundinidae. The transcript is spliced from 5 exons. The record is from RefSeq and is a predicted model, not a curated record.